GCGAGAAUAGCUCAGUUUGGUAGAGCAUUACCUUGCCAAGGUAAUGGUCGCGGGUUCAAAUCCCGUUUCUCGCU
This 74-nucleotide transfer RNA is filed under the name Candidatus Karelsulcia muelleri. Its description in RNAcentral is "tRNA-Gly". It matches the Rfam family "tRNA". Rfam says of the family: Transfer RNA (tRNA) molecules are approximately 80 nucleotides in length. Lineage: Bacteria; Pseudomonadati; Bacteroidota; Flavobacteriia; Flavobacteriales. The record is from RNAcentral.